CGUAGGGUGCAGGGCGUUAAUCGGAAUUACUGGGCGUAAAGCGUGCGCAGGCGGUUUCUUAAGUCAGAUGUGAAAGCCCCGGGCUUAACCUGGGAACUGCGUUUGAAACUGGGAGACUUGAGUGUGGCAGAGGGGGGUGGAAUUCCACGUGUAGCAGUGAAAUGCGUAGAUAUGUGGAGGAACACCGAUGGCGAAGGCAGCCCCCUGGGUUAACACUGACGCUCAUGCACGAAAGCGUGGGGAGCAAACAGGAUUAGAUACCCUGGUAGUCCACGCCUAAACUAUGUCAACUGGUUGUCGGGGGAUUAACUCCCUUGGUAACGAAGCUAACGCGUGAAGUUGACCGCCUGGGGAGUACGGUCGCAAGAUUA
RNAcentral lists this ribosomal RNA (371 nucleotides) under uncultured organism. RNAcentral's name for it is "bacterial SSU rRNA". It matches the Rfam family "Bacterial small subunit ribosomal RNA", at positions 526 to 896 of the family's 1533-position model. The record is from RNAcentral.